Molecule: ribosomal RNA, 377 nt
Filed under: uncultured cyanobacterium
Lineage: Bacteria; Bacillati; Cyanobacteriota
Description: bacterial SSU rRNA
Rfam family: Bacterial small subunit ribosomal RNA
Source: RNAcentral
CGCAAGCCUGACGGAGCAAGACCGCGUGCGGGAUGACGGCCUAAUGGUUGUAAACCGCUUUUCUCUGGGAAGAUGAUGACGGUACCAGAGGAAUCAGCCUCGGCUAACUCCGUGCCAGCAGCCGCGGUAAUACGGAGGAGGCAAGCGUUAUCCGGAAUUAUUGGGCGUAAAGCGUCCGCAGGGGGCACAUCAAGUCUGCUGUUAUAGGCUGGAGCUUAACUCCGGUAGAGCAGUGGAAACUGGUGUGCUAGAGGGCGACAGGGGUAGAGGGAAUCCCCAGUGUAGCGGUGAAAUGCGCAGAGAUUGGGAAGAACACCGGUGGCGAAAGCGCUCUACUGGGUCGCACCUGACCCUCAGGGACGAAAGCUAAGGUAGCG